UGUUUGAGGGAGUAAUGAGAGAAUGAGUGAAAUCCAAAGGUAAAGGACGGGGUUGGUUGUUCUAACCAUAGAUAUCUAUAGUAUUGGCCAUUACUAUAGAUAUCUGUGGUUCUAACGCGCUGCAUUGAGCCCUAAACGCCAUUAUGAGCGCUUCGCGAGACAGAUGAAGUUUGGUCGCUCUCGGACUCCGUAGACACAACAAGUGUCAGUUGUAAUGACGUUUUCAGCGACGACCACCAGGGAAACUGCUGCGACGGCAAAACGGUGAGUGGGAGGAGGUAUAUAAAAGAAAUUACUGCGAUGAGGCUCUCAGCUCUGCCUCAUGAACUCCAAAAACUAAAGCAUCCACAGCCAGUGGCUGCAGGUGGAUCCACAACAUGAUGAUGAAUGGCUUUGCCCUCUUAAGGAGCUCUUGUCCCAUAUUGAAACUUCAGUGUUAAAGAUAACUGACACCCAGGAUGCACCUCUGCUGGAGCAGAUAAACCUGUGGAGCAGCAGCACGGUUGUUGGGACAAGAUGUUUGAAGAUUUCUGAAGAUAGAAGACGAGCUGAAAAGGAUUUAUUUCUCAACAACUUUCUGUUUUUUUUGUUUUGUUUUGUUUUUUUUAUUUUAGAUGUUUUAGAGUCAUCUUUUAGUAUAUUCAUUUUUUCUAAAUGUUUCAAAUUUUUUCACUAAAAAUUUGUAAUUAUUUUCUGUCUUGUGUUUUUUU
Molecule: long non-coding RNA, 710 nt
Organism: Cheilinus undulatus (humphead wrasse)
Lineage: Eukaryota; Metazoa; Chordata; Actinopteri; Labriformes; Labridae
Exons: 5
Source: RefSeq, a predicted model, not a curated record